GCACAACGCGAAGAACCUUACCAAGGCUUGACAUAUACGGUCUAUCCCUAGAGAUAGGGAGUGCUUCGGCGCCGUAUACAGGUGGUGCAUGGUUGUCGUCAGCUCGUGUCGUGAGAUGUUGGGUUAAGUCCCGCAACGAGCGCAACCCUCGUCCUAUGUUGCCAGCGGGUUAAUGCCGGGGUACUCAUAGGAGACUGCCGGGGUCAACUCGGAGGAAGGUGGGGAUGACGUCAAAUCAUCAUGCCCCUUAUGUCUUGGGCUUCACGCAUGCUACAAUGGCCGGUACAGAGGGCUGCGAUACCGUAAGGUGGAGCGAAUCCCAAAAACGCCGGUCUCAGUUCGGAUUGAGGUCUGCAACUCGACCUCAUGAAGUCGGAGUCGCUAGUAAUCGCAGAUCAGCAACGCUGCGGUGAAUACGUUCCCGGGUUC
RNAcentral lists this ribosomal RNA (429 nucleotides) under uncultured bacterium. Its description in RNAcentral is "bacterial SSU rRNA". It matches the Rfam family "Bacterial small subunit ribosomal RNA", at positions 954 to 1378 of the family's 1533-position model. The record is from RNAcentral.